AGUCUGCAACUCGACUACAUGAAGCUGGAAUCGCUAGUAAUCGCGAAUCAGAAUGUCGCGGUGAAUACGUUCCCGGGUCUUGUACACACCGCCCGUCACACCAUGGGAGUCAGUAACGCCCGAAGCCGGUGACCUAACCGAAAGGGAGGAGCCGUCGAAGGUGGGACCGAUAACUGGGGUGAAGUCGUAACAAGGUACC
RNAcentral lists this ribosomal RNA (199 nucleotides) under uncultured bacterium. RNAcentral's name for it is "partial 16S ribosomal RNA". It matches the Rfam family "Bacterial small subunit ribosomal RNA", at positions 1302 to 1500 of the family's 1533-position model. The record is from RNAcentral.